RNAcentral lists this ribosomal RNA (252 nucleotides) under uncultured bacterium. RNAcentral describes it as "partial 16S ribosomal RNA". It matches the Rfam family "Bacterial small subunit ribosomal RNA", at positions 524 to 776 of the family's 1533-position model. The record is from RNAcentral.
UACGUAGGGAGCAAGCGUUGUCCGGAAUCAUUGGGCGUAAAGCGCGCGUAGGCGGCCCCGUAAGUCCGCUGUGAAAGUCAAAGGCUCAACCUUUGAAAGCAGGUGGAUACUGUGGGGCUAGAGUCCGGAAGAGGCGAGUGGAAUUCCUGGUGUAGCGGUGGAAUGCGCAGAUAUCAGGAGGAACACCAAUAGCGAAGGCAGCUCGCUGGGACGGUACUGACGCUAAGGCGCGAAAGCGUGGGAGCGAACAGG